RNAcentral lists this ribosomal RNA (308 nucleotides) under uncultured bacterium. Its description in RNAcentral is "bacterial SSU rRNA". It matches the Rfam family "Bacterial small subunit ribosomal RNA", at positions 30 to 334 of the family's 1533-position model. The record is from RNAcentral.
AUUGAACGCUGGCGGUAUGCUUAACACAUGCAAGUCGAACGGUAACAGUGCUAGCUUGCUAGUAGCUGACGAGUGGCGGACGGGUGAGUAAUGCAUAGGAAUCUGCCUAAUAGUGGGGGGACAACCCGAGGAAACUCGGGCUAAUACCGCAUAAUACUUUGGUUGAAAGCGUGGGACCUUCGGGCCAUGUGCUAUUAGAUGAGCCUAUGUCAGAUUAGCUUGUUGGUGAGGUAAAAGCUCACCAAGGCGAUGAUCUGUAGCUGUUCUGAGAGGAAGAUCAGCCACACUGGAACUGAGGCACGGUCCAG